GUGAUGAGGAUGGUGGUGAUGAUGAGGAUGGUGGUGGUGAUGAGGAUGGUGGUGGUGAUGAGGAUGGUGGUGGUGAUGAGGAUGGUGGUGAUGAUGAGGAUGGUGGUGGUGAUGAGGAUGGUGGUGAUGAUGGUGGUGGUGAUGAUGAGGAUGGUGGUGGUGAUGAGGAUGGUGGUGGUGAUGAGGAUGGUGGUGAUGAUGAGGAUGGUGGUGAUGAUGAGGAUGGUGGUGGUGAUGAUGAGGAUGGUGGUGAUGAUGAGGAUGGUGGUGAUGAUGAGGAUGGUGGUGAUAUGUGAUGGUAAUGAUAAUGGUGAUGAUGGUAAUUAUGAUGGUGGUGGUGAUGAGGAUGUUGGUGAUAUGUGAUGGUAAUGAUGGUAAUUAUGGUGGUGGUGGUAUUAGUGGAGGUUGAUGAUAAUGGUGGACAGACAGGUAAUGAUGGUGGUGGUGAUGAGGAUGUUGGUGAUAUGUGAUGGUAAUGAUAAUGAUGGUAAUUAUGAUGGUGGUGUUAGUGGAGGUGAUGAUGGUGUUGAUAAUGGUGGACAGACAGAUAAUGAUGAUGGUGGUGGUAUGUGAUGGUAAUGAUGAUGGUCAUACUGCAUGAUAGUGGUGGUAUAUGACCGUGAUGAUGUGAUGGUGAUAACGAUAGUGAUGAUGGUGCUGGUGACGAUUGUGCUGAGGGUGAUGAUGGGUGGUAAUGAG
Molecule: non-coding RNA, 699 nt
Organism: Paramuricea clavata
Lineage: Eukaryota; Metazoa; Cnidaria; Anthozoa; Malacalcyonacea; Plexauridae
Source: the annotation of a GenBank genome assembly